UACGAAGGGGGCUAGCGUUGCUCGGAAUCACUGGGCGUAAAGGGCGCGUAGGCGGCGUUUUAAGUCGGGGGUGAAAGCCUGUGGCUCAACCACAGAAUGGCCUUCGAUACUGGGACGCUUGAGUAUGGUAGAGGUUGGUGGAAUUGCGAGUGUAGAGGUGAAAUUCGUAGAUAUUCGCAAGAACACCGGCGGCGAAGGCGGCCAACUGGACCAUUACUGACGCUGAGGCGCGAAAGCGUGGGGAGCAAACAGG
Molecule: ribosomal RNA, 253 nt
Filed under: uncultured bacterium
Lineage: Bacteria
Description: partial 16S ribosomal RNA
Rfam family: Bacterial small subunit ribosomal RNA
Source: RNAcentral